CGACGGGGGGUUGUAGUGAGGAAGAGUGGUCAAGGGGCGGAAGCCGGAACCAGACAAGUAGCGUGAGGGAGGAAGGCCCUACGGGUCGUAAACCGCUUUUGCACGGGGAUAACACCCUCCACUUGUGGAGGUCUGCAGGUACCGUGCGAAUAAGGGCCGGCUAAUUCCGUGGCAGCAGCCGCGGUAAUACGGAAGGCCCGAGCGUUAUCCGGAUUCAUUGGGCUUAAAGGGAGCGUAGGCGGGCGUUCAAGUCAGCUGUAAAAUCGCGCGGCUCAACCGCGCCCCGCAGUUGAAACUGGACGCCUUGAGUUCACAACAGGCAGGCGGAAUUCGUGGUGUAGCGGUGAAAUGCAUAGAUAUCACGAGGAACCCCGAUUGCGAAGGCAGCCUGCCGGGGUGCGACUGACGCUGAGGCUCGAAGGUGCGGGUAUCAAACAGGAUUAGAUACCCUUGUAGUC
This 458-nucleotide ribosomal RNA is filed under the name uncultured bacterium. RNAcentral describes it as "partial 16S ribosomal RNA". It matches the Rfam family "Bacterial small subunit ribosomal RNA", at positions 339 to 795 of the family's 1533-position model. The record is from RNAcentral.